AUUGAACGCUGGCGGCAGGCCUAACACAUGCAAGUCGAGCGGCAGCGGAAAGUAGCUUGCUACUUUGCCGGCGAGCGGCGGACGGGUGAGUAAUGUCUGGGAAACUGCCUGAUGGAGGGGGAUAACUACUGGAAACGGUAGCUAAUACCGCAUGAUGUCGCAAGACCAAAGAGGGGGACCUUCGGGCCUCUUGCCAUCAGAUGUGCCCAGAUGGGAUUAGCUAGUAGGUGGGGUAACGGCUCACCUAGGCGACGAUCCCUAGCUGGUCUGAGAGGAUGACCAGCCACACUGGAACUGAGACACGGUCCAGACUCCUACGGGAGGCAGCAGUGGGGAAUAUUGCACAAUGGGCGCAAGCCUGAUGCAGCCAUGCCGCGUGUAUGAAGAAGGCCUUCGGGUUGUAAAGUACUUUCAGCGGGGAGGAAGGUGCUGAGGUCAAUAACCUCAGCAAUUGACGUUACCCGCAGAAGAAGCACCGGCUAACUCCGUGCCAGCCGCCGCCGUAA
This 506-nucleotide ribosomal RNA is filed under the name uncultured bacterium. RNAcentral's name for it is "partial 16S ribosomal RNA". It matches the Rfam family "Bacterial small subunit ribosomal RNA", at positions 30 to 523 of the family's 1533-position model. The record is from RNAcentral.